GGAAUAUUGGUCAAUGGACGAGAGUCUGAACCAGCCAAGUAGCGUGCAGGAUGACGGCCCUAUGGGUUGUAAACUGCUUUUAUCAGGGAAUAAAGUGAGGCACGUGUGCCUUUUUGUAUGUACCUGACGAAUAAGGACCGGCUAAUUCCGUGCCAGCAGCCGCGGUAAUACGGAAGGUCCGGGCGUUAUCCGGAUUUAUUGGGUUUAAAGGGAGCGCAGGCGGAAGCUUAAGCGUGACGUGAAAUGCAGGUGCUCAACAUCUGCACUGCGUCGCGAACUGGGUUUCUUGAGUGAGUACGACGUGGACGGAAUUCGUGGUGUAGCGGUGAAAUGCUUAGAUAUCACGAAGAACCCCGAUUGCGAAGGCAGUCCACGAGUCCUUUACUGACGCUAAAGCUCGAAAGUGCGGGUAUCGAACA
RNAcentral lists this ribosomal RNA (419 nucleotides) under uncultured Prevotella sp. RNAcentral describes it as "bacterial SSU rRNA". It matches the Rfam family "Bacterial small subunit ribosomal RNA", at positions 358 to 774 of the family's 1533-position model. The record is from RNAcentral. Lineage: Bacteria; Pseudomonadati; Bacteroidota; Bacteroidia; Bacteroidales; Prevotellaceae.